GGUUGCGAUCAUACCAGCACUAAUGCACCGGAUCACAUCAGAACUCCGCAGUUAAGCGUGCUUGGGCGAGAGUAGUACUAGGAUGGGUGACCCCCUGGGAAGUCCUCGUGUUGCAACCC
This 119-nucleotide ribosomal RNA is filed under the name Helianthus annuus (common sunflower). The record is from RNAcentral. Lineage: Eukaryota; Viridiplantae; Streptophyta; Magnoliopsida; Asterales; Asteraceae.